Notolabrus celidotus (New Zealand spotty) is the source of this 771-nucleotide long non-coding RNA. RefSeq lists it as uncharacterized. The record is from RefSeq and is a predicted model, not a curated record. NCBI's taxonomy places the organism in Eukaryota, Metazoa, Chordata, Actinopteri, Labriformes, Labridae. The transcript is spliced from 3 exons.
GAGAGCUCUGCAUAACAUGAUAACAUGUAGGGGUCAACUGCAGCCAAACCAAGUCCAGACGGAACAUUUUGGAGGAAAUUCAAACAUCAGUUUUGUAAUCAGAAGAUCAUUAACGAAAAUCACGACCUCAGUCCGGGAAUUGGACACCAGGAAACUUGGCGAAACCUGCUUUUUGUAUCCCCCCUUACCUGAAAGCGAGUCCUCUCCGCUGCGUACUUCUGGUAGUGUGCCAUGGCCUGCAGCACCUUCUUGUGUCCGUCGGGCACCAGGCACACAGCCCCGAGGAUCUCCAGCACCGCCACUUUGGUCUUGAUGUUCUCCGUCCGCAGGCUCUGGGAGAUGGUGUUGAUGCUCUGCGGGUGAGCGAGGACGUGAGCGCGGCCCUGCGAGUUGUUCAUCAAGGCCUUGAUGCAGCCAAUGACGGAGGUGUGGACCCGGCUCUCGGACGUCUCGUAGUCCAUGCUGCGCAGGAAGUUGAGGAGGCAGGCAGACGAGGAAAAACACAACGCAGAGAUAUGUAAAUCAUCCAAUUAUUAUCAUCUACAUCAAGGCCACGGCUCGUCCUCUGCUCACACACAAUCAGUCCCAGAUUUUUCCAGCAGAUGCUCACGCAGACAUUACCUGGCAUGACCGGUAAAUCUCUCAGACACGUAAUCCUCUGAUCUGCAGCAGCCUGGACGAGACCAAGGAGGUCACACAGGAUGCAUGCAAGCAACCGAUUGAGGUUUCAUGUCACAGGAAUUUUAAAUUCUAAUAAAGACGUUAAACAGA